This 3075-nucleotide long non-coding RNA is filed under the name Homo sapiens (human). RNAcentral describes it as "HSALNT0130185". The record is from RNAcentral. Lineage: Eukaryota; Metazoa; Chordata; Mammalia; Primates; Hominidae.
CUGGGAAGUGCCGGGCCGGCGGAGAGGGGAGCCCGGGCGCACGGGCCAGGCCGCGGGCUGUCCCAGGGAGCCCCGAGGGCGCGGUGCGCGGGCGCAGGUCGGGCGCAGGCGGGGUGACCCGGGGAAGGGGCGCGCACAGAGACAGAGGGAGCCAGCCGGGCCCCACGGUGUCCUCGGACGCCUCCGAAAUCUCCCUGCGUGUUUGUUUCUUCGGAGCUUCACCGGAGCCUGACUCUGGAACCGGCCUGUCUGCCUGCUGCAGUCUGUCAUUCAACAUUUAUUCAACCAAAAAUACUAAGUCAGCUCUAUACAAACUAAUGGAAGGAUACAGCUAUGCAAAUAUAGAACACUAAAGUGUUACAUGACAGAUGUAUGAGUCUUGGAUAUGUCUUUAUCAGCAGUAUGAAAACUGACUAAUACAGUAAAUUGGUACCAGUGGAGUGGGGCGCUGCUGAAAAGAUACCUGAAAAUGUGGAAGCGACUUUGGAACUGGGUAACAGGCAGAGGUUGAAACAGUUUGGAGGGCUCAGAAGAAGACAAGAAAAUGUGGGAAAGUUUGGAACUUCCUAAAGACUUGUUGAAUGGCUUUGACAAAAAUGCUGAUACUGCUAUGGACAAUAAGGUCCAGGCUGAGGUGGUCUCAGAUGGAGAUGAGGAACUUGUAGGGAACUGGAACAAAGAUGACUGUUGUUAUGUUUUAGCAAAGAGACUGGUGGCAUUUUGCCCCUACCAUAGAGAUUUGUGGAACUUUGAUCUUGAGAGAGGUGAUUUAGGGUAUCUGGCUGAAGAAAUUUCUAAGCAGCAAAGCAUUCAAGAGGUGAUUUGGGUGCUGUUAAAAGCAUUUCAUUUUAAAAGGGAAACAGCAUAAAAAUUUGGAAAAUUUGCAGCCAGUUGAUGCAGCAGAAGAGAGAAACCUGUUUUUUGAGGAGAAAUUCAAGCUGGCUGCAGAAAUUUGCAUAAGUUACAGGGAGCUGAAUGUUAAUCUCCAAGACAAUGGGGAAAAUGUCUCCAGGGCAUGUCACAGGUCUUCAUGGCAGCCCCUCCCAUCACAGACCCUGAAGACUAGGAGGAAAAAAUGGUUUUGUGGGCCAGGCCCAGGGUCCCCAUGCUGUGUGCAGCCUAGGGACUUGGUGCCCUGCAUCCCAGCUGCUCCAGCCAUUGCUAAAAGGGCCGAGGUACAGCUCUGCCCGUGGUUUCAGAGGGUGCAAGCCCCAAACCUUGGCAGCUUCCAUGUGGUGUUGAGCCUGCAGGUGCAUGGAAGUCAAGAAUUGAGGUUUGGGAACCUCCAUCUAGAUUUCAGAAGAUGUAUGGAAUCACCUGGAUGCUCAGGCAAAAGUUUGCUCCAGGGGCAGAGCCUUCAUGGAGAACCUCUGCUAGGGCAGUGUGAAGGGAAAUGUGGGGUUGGAGCCCCCACACAGAAUCCCUACUGGGGCACCACCUAGUGGAGCUGUGCAAAGAAGGCCACCGUCCUUCAGACCCCAGAAUGGUAGAUCCACCGACAGCUUGUACCGUGCACCUGGAAAAGCCACAGACCCUAAACGCCAGCCCGUGAAAGCAGCCAGGAGUGGGGACUAUACCCUGUGAAGCCACAGGGGCAGAGCUGCCCAAGACUAAGGGAACCUACCUCUUGCAUCAUUGUGACCUGGAUGUGAGACAUGGAGUCAGAGGAGAUCAUUUUGGAACGUUAUAAUUUGACUGCCUCGCUGGAUUUUGGACUUGCAUGGGGCUUGUAACGCCUUUGUUGUGGGCACUUUCUCCCAUUUGGAAUGGCUGUAUUUACCCAUUACCUGUAUCCCCAUUGUAUGUAGGAAGUAACUAGCUUGCUUUUGAUUUUACAGGAUCAUGGGUAGAAGGGACUUGCCUUGUUUCAGAUGAGACUUUGGACUACGGACUUUUGGGUUAAUGCUGAGAUGAGUUAAGACUUUGGGGGACUGUUUGGAAGGCAUGAUUGGUUUUGAAAUGUGAGAACAUGAGAUUUGGAGGGGCCAGGGGCAGAAUGAUAUGGUUUGGCUGUGCCCCCACCCAAAUCUCAACUUGAAUUGUUAUCUCCCAGAAUUCCCAGGUGUUGUGGGAGGGACCCAGGGGGAGGUAAUUGAAUCAUGGGGGCCGGUCUUUCCCAUGCUAUUUUUGUGAUAGUGAAUAAGUCUCAGGAGAUCUGAUGGGUUUAUCAGGAGUUUCUGCUUUUGUUUCUCUCUCAUUGUCUCUUGCCGCUGCCAUAUAAGAAGUACCUUUUGCCUCCCACUGUGAUUCUGAGGCCUCCCCAGCCAUGUGCAACUGUAAGUCCAAUGAAACCUCUUUUUCUCCUCAGUUUUGGGUAUGUCUUUAUCAGCAGCGUGAAAAUGGACUAAUACGAUCACCCUCUUCUUUGUUCUCCUUUCUAUUUCAUCUCUAAUUUUUUUUGGCAUUUGGAGGGUGCUAUACAUUGCAAAAGUUGGGGACUCACUAAUUCCACUGCUCACUGUAUAUCAAGGUAAUCUGUCAGGGGUUUGGUUUUAUAUAAGAAACAAAUGAGUCCCCAGAACAUACAAGUUAAGAUUAUUCAAUCAAGGGAGGCAGUCAUUACCCUUUAACCUCUGAAAGAAAACUGCAAGUAGGCAUCAAACUAACCCUGAGAUGGGAGAGAGUAGAAGUUCCCACACCCAGUGAAUUGUAGGACAUUAGGUAAUUAUUGGUGGGAAGUAAAUUUGAGUGGGGAACUGAAUUUCAACUGACUUUUAUCCUUGAAGAUGGUGCUUCUAUUUUCUCAAAUUAGAAGGUUAUGAAAAUUGCAUCUGAACAACAAGUUGUAUUAGCAUAAGUUCUAGAAGAAACUGAGAAAGCAAGGCUAGUCUGAGGAAAAUUUAUACCGCUCACAUUUCCCUUCUGAAUUGGAGAAUAGAAUUGAAUAGCAAAAUUGUAACCUACCUUUCAAAGAUGCAUUUUAUAGUGAAGUAUAUUUUGUGAACUUUUAUAUCUUCUAUUCUUAUUUUUCUAUUGCCCUAUUUUAAAAUCUAUCUUGAAUUUAUUAAAUGUAUAUGUCUCUGUUUAUAUAUUUAUGAGUAAUAUGGUAGUCUUUUUGGUAUCAGAUGAGAACCC